This 952-nucleotide ribosomal RNA is filed under the name uncultured Burkholderia sp. RNAcentral's name for it is "bacterial SSU rRNA". It matches the Rfam family "Bacterial small subunit ribosomal RNA", at positions 8 to 954 of the family's 1533-position model. Lineage: Bacteria; Pseudomonadati; Pseudomonadota; Betaproteobacteria; Burkholderiales; Burkholderiaceae. The record is from RNAcentral.
AGGGUUUGAUUAUGGCUCAGAUUGAACGCUGGCGGCAUGCCUUACACAUGCAAGUCGAACGGCAGCACGGGGGCAACCCUGGUGGCGAGUGGCGAACGGGUGAGUAAUACAUCGGAACGUGUCCUGUAGUGGGGGAUAGCCCGGCGAAAGCCGGAUUAAUACCGCAUACGCUCUGCGGAGGAAAGCGGGGGCUCCUUCGGGACCUCGCGCUACAGGGGCGGCCGAUGGCAGAUUAGCUAGUUGGUGGGGUAAAGGCCUACCAAGGCGACGAUCUGUAGCUGGUCUGAGAGGACGACCAGCCACACUGGGACUGAGACACGGCCCAGACUCCUACGGGAGGCAGCAGUGGGGAAUUUUGGACAAUGGGCGCAAGCCUGAUCCAGCAAUGCCGCGUGUGUGAAGAAGGCCUUCGGGUUGUAAAGCACUUCUGUCCGGAAAGAAAACCUCAGCCCUAAUACGGCGGGGGGAUGACGGUACCGGAAGAAUAAGCACCGGCUAACUACGUGCCAGCAGCCGCGGUAAUACGUAGGGUGCAAGCGUUAAUCGGAAUUACUGGGCGUAAAGCGUGCGCAGGCGGUCCGCUAAGACAGAUGUGAAAUCCCCGGGCUUAACCUGGGAACUGCAUUUGUGACUGGCGGGCUAGAGUAUGGCAGAGGGGGGUAGAAUUCCACGUGUAGCAGUGAAAUGCGUAGAGAUGUGGAGGAAUACCGAUGGCGAAGGCAGCCCCCUGGGCCAAUACUGACGCUCAUGCACGAAAGCGUGGGGAGCAAACAGGAUUAGAUACCCUGGUAGUCCACGCCCUAAACGAUGUCAACUAGUUGUCGGGCCUUCAUUGGCUUGGUAACGUAGCUAACGCGUGAAGUUGACCGCCUGGGGAGUACGGUCGCAAGAUUAAAACUCAAAGGAAUUGACGGGGACCCGCACAAGCGGUGGAUGAUGUGGAUUAAUUCGA